Molecule: ribosomal RNA, 468 nt
Filed under: uncultured bacterium
Lineage: Bacteria
Description: partial 16S ribosomal RNA
Rfam family: Bacterial small subunit ribosomal RNA
Source: RNAcentral
GACGAACGCUGGCGGCGUGCUUAACACAUGCAAGUCGAACGGAAAGGCCCUGCUUUUGUGGGGUGCUCGAGUGGCGAACGGGUGAGUAACACGUGAGUAACCUGCCCUUGACUUUGGGAUAACUUCAGGAAACUGGGGCUAAUACCGGAUAGGAGCUCCUGCUGCAUGGUGGGGGUUGGAAAGUUUCGGCGGUUGGGGAUGGAUUCGCGGCUUAUCAGCUUGUUGGUGGGGUAGUGGCUUACCAAGGCUUUGACGGGUAGCCGGCCUGAGAGGGUGACCGGCCACAUUGGGACUGAGAUACGGCCCAGACUCCUACGGGAGGCAGCAGUGGGGAAUAUUGCACAAUGGGCGGAAGCCUGAUGUAGCAACGCCGCGUGCGGGAUGACGGCCUUCGGGUUGUAAACCGCUUUCGCCUGUGACGAAGCGUGAGUGACGGUAAUGGGUAAAGAAGCACCGGCUAACUACGUG